CUACCCCUUAGGUCCGAGUGAUCUCGGGUUCUGGCUUUUGAGGGGGGCUGUACCUUUUGAUCCGGGUCCAGGUCCAGGAGGAGGAUUCCCAGGGUCUAUGCUGUUGAUCGUUUUGAAUUUCCCUUAGGAGCUUAUAGUUUGAGAUUGGUCGGGAAGGGUUUUCCAGAGAUCUGAACUUUAGCUUUCUCUAAGCAGCCAUCUUGACCGGAAGUUGAAAUUUCUUUACUUCAUUCACUAUCCAUUUUCCCCCUUGAAUUAUGCUCAGUUUGUUGGGUAUGUUAUUUUUUGUUGCAAAUCCAGUUCCUGUGCUCUUUGAAAUAUUGUUUUCUUCCAUACCCUUUAUUCUUUUAAUGUUACAAUUUCUAAGUCUUGUGAUAUAGUAGCUCCACAGUAUUUUUUUUUUCCUGCUUGUCGUAUUUUCUCCUUAAACUGAGAUCUUUGGAACUUAACAAUAAGGUUUCUGUGCAUUUUCAUUUUGGGGGUAUAAUGAUGAUUGCUUUCUGGACACUGGCACACUGUUGGAUUGGCCUCAAGUAACAGGUCUCUAAUUGAAGAGGAAGGUCCCUUUAGGAAUUUUAUCCAAAAUUUCACUGUAGAGCAUGGUAACCUGAAUGGAAUCUUCUUGACAAGGAAAAAUGGGCAGUGCAUUCUUUUGUCCCUUAUUGCUCUUAGGACUGAGGAAGCAGGUUGUUUUAAGUUGAACUAUUAUGGAACUAAUGAAAUCUACUAUGAAAGCUCUAAGUCAGAUGAAUAUGUCAUCUUCAUCUUGUAUAACCAACACAAAGGGUAUAUAAACAUAGUGGCAAACCUCUUUGGCCGGACUCCAAAUCUGAGCACUGAAAUCAAGAAAAAAUUUGAGAAAGUUUGUAUAGACAGAGGAAUUAGGAAAGAAAACAUUUUAGACGUGUCUGAAGUUGAUCACUGCUAGCAGUUUGACCAAUAAGGAAGUUCACUUUGUCCUUCAGGUUCCUGUUGUCCUCUAGUGAUUCCCAGGACAAUACUUUCUUCAAAGAAUUAUCAGCAUGAAUAAUCAACAGUUCUGGAAGCCUUUUUACUUUGAUUCUAAGUUUCAAGUGGAUUCUGUCCUUUUUUCAAACUCUGCCUCUUUACAGAAAGGACUCUUGGGUGAGAUCAUCCCUGCAAAGUAUAAAAAUGGAGACUUGAACCCAGGAUUCCAUUUCCCGGAAGUCCUUGCUAGCUCCCAGAAUUCCCUCUAAUCUCACUGAGAUUUCCACCUGGGCGGGGUCAAAAAUUUCUAUUUAACCUGGCUAUAAAGGCUACUGGGGUCUUUCCUGUUUCUGCUUCCAAGCAGACUUUCAUGAUGUAGGUGAGGUUAAAUGGGCUUCCACCUAGCACAUGCUUCUCUUAUUUGUAUAUUCUUAAAUUCUCAAUCUUUAAUAAAAUUCUUAAAAAUAUAAUACUCCUUGCAGAGAGAAACUAAUUUCUAUCUGCCUCAGUUUCCCCUAAAUUUUAAUCAUAACAAUUGAAUUUUAAUUGUUACAAAAGUCCAAUAAAUGAGUUACCCUGUGCACUAGGUGUCCUAAGUCUGUUUGGGAAACUUGAAUGGAUAAGUGAGGGAAAAAGAGUGGAAAUUAUGUCUAAGCAACAGCAAUAAAAGUCUUCAGAUCUUUGUAUUCAUUCAACCACCUCAACUGACUUUUUUGUUUUUAAAUUAAUUCCUAUAAAGUCAUGCAUAGAAACAAAAAUUCAGUCACUCUGCUAGAUUAUUUUAAUAAAUUAGGUUUUAACAAAAGGAAAAGAAAAGGCUAAUGUUCUAUGAAGCUUUUAAAUGUCUUGAGAUGUCAUUCAUCUGCCUUUGCCUCUUCUAGGACCACUU
Non-coding RNA from Monodelphis domestica (gray short-tailed opossum), 1837 nucleotides. The record is from RefSeq and is a predicted model, not a curated record. NCBI's taxonomy places the organism in Eukaryota, Metazoa, Chordata, Mammalia, Didelphimorphia, Didelphidae.